Rhinichthys klamathensis goyatoka is the source of this 527-nucleotide non-coding RNA. The record is from the annotation of a RefSeq genome assembly. NCBI's taxonomy places the organism in Eukaryota, Metazoa, Chordata, Actinopteri, Cypriniformes, Leuciscidae.
AUAAAGCAUUACCAUUAGAGCACAGAGAACAUUAAUUGAUCUACAGUAGUCAACAUGGAAAAACACCUGUUUCUGAUUUUAAGUCUGACUUCAGGUGUGAUGACUGCAGACCAGAUUGGGCCAAAUAAAGAAACUCUCAUCAUAAAGAAGGAAGACGAGACUGUGACUCUCAGCUGCUCAUAUACAACUAGCAGCAGUUCUGUUUAUCUUUACUGGUACAGACAGUAUGCUAAUAGUGAUCCUCAGUAUUUAAUAUUUAAACAUCCCAGAUCAGCUGCAAGUGGAAACCCCUCUGAUCCUCGCUUUCAGUCGACUACAUCAGAUUCAUCCACUGAACUCAUUAUUAAUGGAGUGACGCUGUCAGAUUCAGCUCUCUAUUAUUGUGCUCUGGAGCCCAGUGAUGCAAAAUCUAUGUGAAGCUGUACAAAAACUAAAAUUAUUUGUUCCCUUUGAAGUCAAGCCACAUCAAACCCACAAUCUAUAAUUCUCAUAAUAUAAUUACACCAGUGGAAACACCUGUGUGUGGU